UGCCCUCUUCUGUCAAAAGAAUGAGAAUGAAAUCGCAACAGGGCUAUUUAUAGCUGAGAAGCGUCACAGAAAACAUGCCCAGGCCCAGCACACAACCGCCCGGUGGCACACUUAUGCUACCCGGCGGUUUGCCCCUAAUCGCGCCACCGCCCGGCGGCAGGGAGCCACUGCCCGUCGGUUUGCCUCUGAUCGUAAAUCCGCCCAGCGUCCAUGCCAGGUGCCUCCUCCUCGCACUGGACCGCCCCGCGGUGCAAUUUUGCCGCCGGGCGGUUCCUAGACUCUUCUUUUCUUCAAUUUUCUUCUUCUGUCUUGAGUCUAAGACCUUCAUCUUCAGUCUCCAUCUUGACUUUCAUCAAAAUAGCUUCAAAACAAUGCAAAACAAGCAUAAUAUCGCUAAAAACAACUUUUGACUCUCGAC
This 418-nucleotide long non-coding RNA is filed under the name Vigna radiata. RNAcentral's name for it is "long non-coding RNA (VRAD_LNC015905)". Lineage: Eukaryota; Viridiplantae; Streptophyta; Magnoliopsida; Fabales; Fabaceae. The record is from RNAcentral.